GAUGAACGCUGGCGGUAUGCCUAACACAUGCAAGUCGUACGAGAGUUUUUAACUCUAGUGGCGGACGGGUGAGUAACACGUGAGAAUUUGCCUUUAGGAGGGGGAUAACAAUUGGAAACGAAUGCUAAUACCCCAUAUGCUUUUGAGUGAAACGGAUUUAUCCGCCUAGAGAGAAGCUCGCGGCUGAUUAGCUUGUUGGUAAGGUAAGAGCUUACCAAGGCGACGAUCAGUAUCUGGUUUGAGAGGACGAUCAGACACACUGGAACUGAGACACGGUCCAGACUCCUACGGGAGGCAGCAGUGGGGAAUUUUCCGCAAUGGGCGAAAGCCUGACGGAGCAAUACCGCGUGAGGGGAAGACUGGCCUAUGGGUUGUAAACCUCUUUUUUCUAGGGAGGAAUAAAAUGACGUGUACCUGAAGAAUAAGCAUCGGCUAACUCCGUG
This 443-nucleotide ribosomal RNA is filed under the name uncultured bacterium. Its description in RNAcentral is "bacterial SSU rRNA". It matches the Rfam family "Bacterial small subunit ribosomal RNA", at positions 28 to 507 of the family's 1533-position model. The record is from RNAcentral.